RNAcentral lists this transfer RNA (73 nucleotides) under Nanobdellota archaeon. RNAcentral's name for it is "tRNA-Thr". It matches the Rfam family "tRNA". From Rfam's summary of the family: Transfer RNA (tRNA) molecules are approximately 80 nucleotides in length. Their secondary structure includes four short double-helical elements and three loops (D, anti-codon, and T loops). The record is from RNAcentral. Lineage: Archaea; Nanobdellati; Nanobdellota. RNAcentral also lists the same sequence under 1 other name.
GCCUUCUUAGUUCAGUCGGUAGAACACUACAUUGGUAAUGUAGAGGUCCGGAGUUCAAUCCUCCGAGGAGGCU